This 631-nucleotide ribosomal RNA is filed under the name uncultured Flavobacterium sp. RNAcentral describes it as "bacterial SSU rRNA". It matches the Rfam family "Bacterial small subunit ribosomal RNA", at positions 57 to 691 of the family's 1533-position model. The record is from RNAcentral. Lineage: Bacteria; Pseudomonadati; Bacteroidota; Flavobacteriia; Flavobacteriales; Flavobacteriaceae.
GCAAGUCGAGGGGUAUAGUAGCAAUACUAGAGACCGGCGCACGGGUGCGUAACGCGUAUGCAAUCUACCUUAUACAGAGGGAUAGCCCAGAGAAAUUUGGAUUAAUACCUCAUAGCAUAGCAACUUCGCAUGAAGUCACUAUUAAAGUUCCAACGGUAUAAGAUGAGCAUGCGUCCUAUUAGCUAGAUGGUAAGGUAACGGCUUACCAUGGCUACGAUAGGUAGGGGUCCUGAGAGGGAGAUCCCCCACACUGGUACUGAGACACGGACCAGACUCCUACGGGAGGCAGCAGUGAGGAAUAUUGGACAAUGGGCGCAAGCCUGAUCCAGCCAUGCCGCGUGCAGGAAGACGCAUCUAUGGUGUGUAAACUGCUUUUGUACGGGAAGAAACACUCCCUCGUGAGGGAGCUUGACGGUACCGUAAGAAUAAGGAUCGGCUAACUCCGUGCCAGCAGCCGCGGUAAUACGGAGGAUCCAAGCGUUAUCCGGAAUCAUUGGGUUUAAAGGGUCCGUAGGCGGUUUGGUAAGUCAGUGGUGAAAGCCCAUCGCUUAACGAUGGAACGGCCAUUGAUACUGCCAGACUUGAAUUACUGGGAAGUAACUAGAAUAUGUAGUGUAGCGGUGAAAUGCUU